UCUCUUCACAGAAAUCAGGCUGAGAGUUGUGCUGGGCAUGCUGUCAAAAUGGCACAGCCUCUGCCUUUUUGAUGGCACUGUCCGUGAUGCUGAGAGCUGGGAGAAGAACUGCAGGUCACUGGGGGAGUGAUGUGAGCUCAAAGAGUUCUUUUGGGUAUUUGGAAGAUGAUCUGUCUCCAUUCAAUAAAACUGGCUACUACUGUGGAGGAAAAAUAAACAUCCCCAAGUAUUUAGGCAGAGACCAAUUCCUCAUUAAAGAUGAUACAACUCUGCAAAUAUUCACGUAUGACUAGUUCCUCAGAGACGAUGAAAUAAGAAGAAGUUUUCAUCUUUGUCAUCAAAACAUCAAACAUGCUCCACUUCAGUCACUCUGUAACUGUGGUAGCCAAGGAAGGCUGUGUUUUUAACAAAAAAUAGCAAACAUUGUUUUUGAUAUGUUACUGGAGCUGGAAUAAUUCAUUAAAGAGUGGACCUGUUGGCCU
Molecule: long non-coding RNA, 482 nt
Organism: Pipra filicauda (Wire-tailed manakin)
Lineage: Eukaryota; Metazoa; Chordata; Aves; Passeriformes; Pipridae
Exons: 4
Source: RefSeq, a predicted model, not a curated record